GCUCCACUAUACUUCAUUUUUUAAAGGUAAGAAGAUAAUAGCAGAAGUAGGAGGUGAGAGGUGACUGAGGAUUCAGAGAAACAAGAGUUCAGAGUAACAGGUAGAAGGUGCUACUAGUGCUGUUGAUCUAAGCAUCACUCUGAGAACUACUAAUUCUAAUCUAUUAGCAUGGUGAGUAAGAACUGAAGCUUGGUUUUGAAUGUUGAUUCAACUAGUCAAUGCUUUAGGCAUAUAUGUAAUUCUCUCUAAUCUUUAGUUUUCUUAUUUUAAAAUGAGGACAAUAACUGUACAUGGCUCAUGUAGUUGUGAUUUCUAAAUGAGAUAGUAUACUUAAAACC
RNAcentral lists this long non-coding RNA (338 nucleotides) under Oryctolagus cuniculus (rabbit). RNAcentral describes it as "lncRNA (ENSOCUG00000037843.1)". The record is from RNAcentral. Lineage: Eukaryota; Metazoa; Chordata; Mammalia; Lagomorpha; Leporidae.